GGUGGUUCAGUGGUAGAAUUCUCGCC
RNAcentral lists this non-coding RNA (26 nucleotides) under Xenopus tropicalis (tropical clawed frog). The record is from RNAcentral. Lineage: Eukaryota; Metazoa; Chordata; Amphibia; Anura; Pipidae. RNAcentral also lists the same sequence under 7 other names.